RNAcentral lists this ribosomal RNA (507 nucleotides) under uncultured Glomus. RNAcentral's name for it is "SSU rRNA". It matches the Rfam family "Eukaryotic small subunit ribosomal RNA", at positions 569 to 1086 of the family's 1831-position model. Lineage: Eukaryota; Fungi; Glomeromycota; Glomeromycetes; Glomerales; Glomeraceae. The record is from RNAcentral.
AGCAGCCGCGGUAAUUCCAGCUCCAAUAGCGUAUAUUAAAGUUGUUGCAGUUAAAAGCUCGUAGUUGAAUUUCGGGAUCAAUACGUCGGUCGUGCUUAGGUACGUACUGGCAUAAUUGAUUUCUCCCUUCUGACGAACCAUGAUGUCAUUAACUUGGUGUCAUGGGAAAUCAGGACUGUUACUUUGAAAAAAUUAGAGUGUUUAAAGCAGGCUCACGCUUGAAUACAUUAGCAUGGAAUAAUGAAAUAGGACGUUCGAUCCUAUUUUGUGGUUUUAGGAUCAACGUAAUGAUUAAUAGGGAUAGUUGGGGGCAUUAGUAUUCAAUUGUCAGAGGUGAAAUUCUUGGAUUUAUUGAAGACUAACUACUGCGAAAGCAUUUGCCAAGGAUGUUUUCAUUAAUCAAGAACGAAAGUUAGGGAUCGAAGACGAUCAGAUACCGUCUAGUCUUAACCAUAAACUAUGCCGACUAGGGAUCAGCGGAUGUUGCUUUUAGGACUCCGCUGGCUA